RNAcentral lists this transfer RNA (71 nucleotides) under Haloarcula sp. Atlit-7R. RNAcentral describes it as "tRNA-Met". It matches the Rfam family "tRNA". Rfam says of the family: Transfer RNA (tRNA) molecules are approximately 80 nucleotides in length. Their secondary structure includes four short double-helical elements and three loops (D, anti-codon, and T loops). Further hydrogen bonds mediate the characteristic L-shaped molecular structure. tRNAs have two regions of fundamental functional importance: the anti-codon, which is responsible for specific mRNA codon recognition, and the 3' end, to which the tRNAs corresponding amino acid is attached (by aminoacyl-tRNA synthetases). tRNAs cope with the degeneracy of the genetic code in two manners: having more than one tRNA (with a specific anti-codon) for a particular amino acid; and 'wobble' base-pairing, i.e. permitting non-standard base-pairing at the 3rd anti-codon position. Lineage: Archaea; Methanobacteriati; Methanobacteriota; Halobacteria; Halobacteriales; Haloarculaceae. The record is from RNAcentral.
UGCGGGAUGGGAUAAUGGCAGUCCACGGGGCUCAUAUCCCCGAGAUCCAGGUUCGACUCCUGGUCCCGCAA